UUUCCGUAGGUGAACCUGCGGAAGGAUCAUUAUUGAAUAAACCUGAUGUGGUUGUAGCUGGCCCUUUCGGGAGCAUGUGCACACCCGUCGUCUUUAUCUUUCCACCUGUGCACCUUUUGUAGACCUGGGUGUAACACUUUCCGAGGCAACUCGGUCGGGAGGAAUGCUGUCAGCUUUCCUUGAAUGUCCAGGCCUAUGUUUUCAUAUACCCCAAAGAAUGUAACAGAAUGUAUUAUUGGGCCUUGUGCCUAUAAACUAUAUACAACUUUCAGCAACGGAUCUCUUGGCUCUC
RNAcentral lists this unclassified non-coding RNA (292 nucleotides) under plant metagenome. Its description in RNAcentral is "partial contains small subunit ribosomal RNA, internal transcribed spacer 1, and 5.8S ribosomal RNA". The record is from RNAcentral.